This 275-nucleotide ribosomal RNA is filed under the name uncultured prokaryote. RNAcentral describes it as "partial 16S ribosomal RNA". It matches the Rfam family "Bacterial small subunit ribosomal RNA", at positions 524 to 798 of the family's 1533-position model. The record is from RNAcentral.
UACGGAGGGUGCAAGCGUUGUUCGGAAUCACUGGGCGUAAAGGGCGCGCAGGCGGUUUGAAUAGUCAGAUGUGAAAGCCCACGGCUUAACCGUGGAAGUGCAUUUGAAACUGUCAGACUUGAGUACCAGAGGGGAAAGUGGAAUUCCCGGUGUAGAGGUGAAAUUCGUAGAUAUCGGGAGGAAUACCGGUGGCGAAGGCGACUUUCUGGCUAGAUACUGACGCUGAGGCGCGAAAGCGUGGGGAGCAAACAGGAUUAGAUACCCUGGUAGUCCCU